CUAGGCCUCCGUUAUGACCCG
Molecule: non-coding RNA, 21 nt
Filed under: Arabidopsis thaliana (thale cress)
Lineage: Eukaryota; Viridiplantae; Streptophyta; Magnoliopsida; Brassicales; Brassicaceae
Source: RNAcentral